RNAcentral lists this transfer RNA (50 nucleotides) under Hybomys univittatus (Peter's striped mouse). Its description in RNAcentral is "partial tRNA-Phe". The record is from RNAcentral. Lineage: Eukaryota; Metazoa; Chordata; Mammalia; Rodentia; Muridae.
UCAAAGCAAGGCACUGAAAAUGCUUAGAUGGAUAACUAAUCCCAUAAACA